Molecule: ribosomal RNA, 484 nt
Filed under: uncultured Sphingobacteriales bacterium
Lineage: Bacteria; Pseudomonadati; Bacteroidota; Sphingobacteriia; Sphingobacteriales
Description: bacterial SSU rRNA
Rfam family: Bacterial small subunit ribosomal RNA
Source: RNAcentral
AACUCAAAGGAAUUGACGGGGGCCCGCACAAGCGGAGGAGCAUGUGGUUUAAUUCGAUGAUACGCGAGGAACCUUACCUGGGCUCGAACGUAAGAUGACUGUAGGUGAAAGCUUACAUCUCUUCGGAGCAUUUUACGAGGUGCUGCAUGGUUGUCGUCAGCUCGUGCCGUGAGGUGUCGGGUUAAGUCCCAUAACGAGCGCAACCCCUACCUUUAGUUGCCAUCAGGUUAAGCUGGGGACUCUAAAGGAACUGCCUACGCAAGUAGUGAGGAAGGCGGGGAUGACGUCAAAUCAGCACGGCCCUUACGUCCAGGGCUACACACGUGCUACAAUGGUCGGUACAAAGGGUUGCCAAGCCGCGAGGUGGAGCUAAUCCCAUAAAACCGAUCGUAGUCCGGAUCGCAGUCUGCAACUCGACUGCGUGAAGUCGGAAUCGCUAGUAAUCGUGAAUCAGAAUGUCACGGUGAAUACGUUCCCGGGCCUU